CAGUAGCCGCGGUAAUACAAAGGGUGCAAGCGUUACUCGGAAUUACUGGGCGUAAAGCGUGCGUAGGUGGUGGUUUAAGUCCGUUGUGAAAGCCCUGGGCUCAACCUGGGAAUUGCAGUGGAUACUGGGUCACUAGAGUGUGGUAGAGGAUAGUGGAAUUUCCGGUGUAGCAGUGAAAUGCGUAGAGAUCGGAAGGAACGUCUGUGGCGAAGGCGACUAUCUGGGCCAACACUGACACUGAGGCACGAAAGCGCGGGGAGCAAACAGGAUUAGAUACCCCCGUAGUCCCUGUCUCUUAUAC
This 301-nucleotide ribosomal RNA is filed under the name uncultured bacterium. RNAcentral describes it as "partial 16S ribosomal RNA". It matches the Rfam family "Bacterial small subunit ribosomal RNA", at positions 509 to 807 of the family's 1533-position model. The record is from RNAcentral.